Molecule: non-coding RNA, 235 nt
Organism: Pelobates cultripes (western spadefoot toad)
Lineage: Eukaryota; Metazoa; Chordata; Amphibia; Anura; Pelobatidae
Source: the annotation of a GenBank genome assembly
GAAGGGAACAGAAAUCCCGAGCGCGCAGCCCGACUACUAUUUCAGCCGCCUGACAUAAUCAGCAUGAUGACUAUUCCAGCCGCCUGAUAUAACCAACUAUCAUCCACACCUUACUCCUAUGGCAUGUUCAGAGGACACAAGAGCUUUUGGAUGCUGUUUUUGACAACAAACUAUAUUGCAGUAUAUGGUGAGAUCCAACCAUACUUACAUUGUAUAUAUAUACACUGAUUUCGGC